Molecule: unclassified non-coding RNA, 1529 nt
Filed under: Hevea brasiliensis (rubber tree)
Lineage: Eukaryota; Viridiplantae; Streptophyta; Magnoliopsida; Malpighiales; Euphorbiaceae
Source: RNAcentral
UUUAAUCAGAGAGAGAGAACUCAAUAAUUCAAUUUAAAGCCAGAAAUGUAUGUUGAAAAAAGGAAAAGAAUGAUACAAAAUUUAUAAGAGAAGUUUAUGAGUUGCAGUCACUUAAAUUGCUGGGAUAAAUUUCUCUGAGGGCAUAUCGACAUGCUUCUAUGCAGCAUGGCUACACCAAAGACUCCAAAUUCCUGGUUGCCAUUAGCAUGAGCAUAAAAUUUGACCAGUUGACGAUUGCCAUGAAAAGAUAGUAAAGUUACCUUGAAAAUUUGAGCUCAGAUACACUCUGCCCAGCAAAUGAGGUCCAAACAACAAUCUCCCAUACACAAAAGCAAGUGAUAAAUAUAUCUGAUAAAUAUAUCAGAGACUGCCAACUGGUUGAGAAGUAUUUCAUUCUCCUCAUUGUCAUUUAUAUUGCCUGUGCUAUCUUUCUCAUUCGACAGUUCACUAGACAGUCCAACAAGUGAUGCAUAAUUUUCAUCUUCAAGAUAUCCUGACUGCCUCAACCAACCCUCCAACACUCCUUUGCUUGACAUGUCAGCUUCUUCCUCACACAGCUUAAAGAAGGAAGAUACAAUUACAGGCUUCGGCUUCCAUCUCUUUGAUCCUUCAGCAAGAAAAGCUUCCUUAAAGCAAGACAAAACCUCAGAAAUUCUCUUCUCUCUUACAUGCCCAUCUGCAAGAAUCUCCCAUGUACUAGAAUUUGGCUUUCCUCCCGCUUCUGCCAUAUGGUCAAAGAUACUUUCAGCCUUGUCCAAAUUUCCCUCUUUAACAUACCAACCCAUGAGGAGAUUUCCUAUUCUAGGGUCAUAGGAUGUCCUAGUUGGUAGCCAUUCCUCGUAAAUCUUUUCUGCACCUUCAAUGUCACCCAUUCUAACCAAAGAUGAGAUAAUAGCAUGAUAUCCCAAAUUCGGAAUAUUGGGAAAAUUUGAUUUGUAAAUGUUCCACACACGAUAAAGCUCUUCUUUAUUGCCAACAUUACCAUACAGGCUUAAGAGAUAGUGAUAAGGUAUCCGAUCCCGACCUGUGAUUCUGCUCUCAACCCUCCUUAGGCAAUCUUCAGCUUUUUCUAACUGCCCCAUCUUUAUGUACAUUGUGGCCAUUGUGCUAAAUGUUGUCCAGUUGGGAUUAAUGGUUUUAUCCAGUUUCAUUUGCUCAAAUACCUGUUCCAUCCUUUCAACAGAUCCUUGGGAUCCACGAGAUGAUAACCAGAUAUUAUAGGAAUAUAUAUCAAGUCUAAUGUUUUUCUCCAUCAUUUCUGAAAUCAUCAUGUCAACUUUAUCAUAUUCCUUGAGGUUCAUGUAUAGAGUCAUCAUCACAUUGAAUGGAAGUGCAUGUGUGGCAAAACUUUUAUUUCUUAUGUUGUCAAUCAUGGAUUCUGCCUUUUCCCUCAUUCUAGCUCUCACAUAGGCAUUCAGCAAAGCCCCAUAUAUCCUCCUGUCCUUUACAGUUUCUGGAACUCUCAAAAAGAAAUCUUCAGCAGCAGAAACUCCACGCACUUUGGCAAUAAGGUCUAAUUGAAUUGCAGC